UUUGGAGGAGGAACUUAAAGGUUUCUUCUUUUUUGAAUUAUGAUAAUUAAGUAGCAAAGGGUGCAACUUAAACUAUAAAUAUUUUCCACUUAACAUUUACAUUUUAAACAGAUAUGCCUAUAUUUGUGAGAGGAUUUGUUAGUUACAGUUUUGAGCAUUAUAUAGUUAGCUAACCUUUCAGCAGUCCUGUUUCUAAAGAGGACUUCUUUACCGGCACACAACAUGAAUGUCUAGUUCUAUUCCCAGCCACAUUUUUAUCUUGUUUUCCAACAUGUAGCUAUGAGCGUAUAGCUAGUUCAGCUACUGCAACUUCCAUUUUGCAAAGACAGAGAUGUCUUGGUAAUGCAUGCAUAAUUUAGAAGUAACAGCUUCUAUACUGGAAUAAGUGUUAGGGGCUCUGUUCAAAUCAUGGUUUGUUUCCUGCUCCAGCUGGGCCCCACUUUCUCCAGGGAAAGGGUAGCUCAGUUGUUUGUGUUGCAACAGCUCAAUGCAGUUUGUAACCUAGCACCUUAAAGUCACCUGGAACUGGUGCUGCUUUACUUUAUUUCUGCUCUUGGAAAGUACAGUGGUGCAGCAGGUACUGCUGCCUCAGUAGUCGAGGCAGGAAACUUGGAAAGGAACAGGGUGUGCAGUGGGAGCAGGAACUGUUAUGGCCAUCUCCAGGAAUCUUCCCUAGUUUAUCACCCAGGGUCCUCUUUCUGUUUUGUGGGGGGAGGAGGAGGAAAAGGUGGAAAACAGUUCUGUAAUUUGUAGAAAAAGAGCAAGAAAUCUUCCUGUUUAAAAAAACAAAAAGUUUUUCUUCUGCAUUAUAGUGUUUCGGAGAGAAAACAUUAAAGCUUUGGGGAUUUUUUUUCUUUUUAAGACUUACCCAAUUUCAAUUAUACUUACUUCCUUGCCUUCUUCAAAAACAGAUACUGUAAAAGAUCAGUAUUUUGAGAUUAAGAUCAAGAAUAAAAAUGGAGAGUGUUUUAAGAGGAAAAGAUGACAACAAAUCAAAAAAAUUUAUGUAUUACCUUUUAAAAAUAUUUAACUUCAGUGAACCAUUAACAUCAAUAAGAUAUUUAGGGUUUUCUAUGUUCAGUUCUGUAGGCAAUAUAGACUGUGAGAGAAACAGGUGCAUCUGAAGUAGAUCAUCUGGUUUAAGAAUGUAAGCAACUAUUCCUGCCAAGCAAUUGGUUAAACAAAACUAUUAAAAUGCAAGUGUUUUCAUAGUAGCUCUCUAAUUUAAGUGGAAGAAAUAUCACAUGCUUGUAGCAAGUUGCAUGUUUCUUCAGGCCUGAUGAAAAAUACAGGUCUGGGGUUUUUUUUGCCCUAGACAAUUCAGUAAUCCCUGUAAUUCUUGUCACAGGUAUACUGAACAAUUGGGGGCAAAUUUCUGCACCUCUUGAAUUUGUAAAGUUAUAUAAAAUCUGAGCAACAGUUACUAAGAGUUCUCAAUAAUUUAAAAAAUUCACAUAGCAGACAGAACAUUCAAUCUUAGAGAAGUGGUGUAUUUUAAGAGAAAGUUCAUAUCGCUGUAGGUAAGUAUGUGCCAUUAACACUGUAAAUUAGAAGCAUGGUAUCUGAGCAAUAUGUAAGCUGUGCACAUACCUCUUUUUGUGCAUAACACAUUGGUGUUUUAAUAUUAUGGAGUAUCUUUGUUCCAUUCCUCUUUGGAACACAAUUAGCUUCCUCUCCCCUGUCUCAGAGAGACAUAUCUUACCUUGCUCUUGGGGCUUGUGAUCCAAGAGUGUCUGGGAGAGGGCUUGUUGGCUGUGAGAGCUGAUGUAUAGCUUACCUUAGGGCUUAACAAUGAUAGCAGGACUGGAUACCACCCACACACACUUUGCUGGUUUCGGUUCUCAGCAUCAUGACAUUCUUUUGAGACCAGGCCCAGAAAUUUGUUGUCCUGAUCAUCAACAUCCAGCUUAAAUACUCUCUUCUUGGAUUCCACCAUUUUAAUGUUGUCAUAUUGAGUUGGUUGGUUAUGUUUUUGAAGGAGAAGACUCUUCUGCCUUAUCUGCGAUACGGCUAUGGGAAUUUCAGGGUUUUCCAAGAGAAAAUGUCUUAUUCCUCACAUGCUCACCAAGAAGAGGUGAUGAAGCCUGUGUAGUGCCUUGAAGAUUAACUUCAUUAUCCUAAUGUGGAAUGGGUAAUUGUGUAUGUUAUGGAAUACCAUCUUACAGGAUACAAAUACUGUACUUGCUAUCAAACGAGGACUGCAAUGAGUACAUCAGAGAGGGAUAGUCAGUGACUUGAAUUUCAUUUUCUGCUGCACUGUGAAUACAGCAGUCGUUUAGAGACCUAGCUUUGGGACUCCAGAUACUUCAAAAGGACAGUGGUUCAGUUGAAGACACUCUUAAAUUAAGGGGCAAAGUAUUUCAGUUUGUAGAUGGAUGAAGUGCCCUCUGCUUUGGUUUAAUUAAAGACCAUGGUUGGAGACUUAUCUGUUUGCUAAGUUCUACCAGUUGUUUUCAUGACUGCUUCCGGAAUUGAUUUAUUAUCUAGCUCAUCAAUGAAGAUGAUCAUGAUUCUUUAAGCAACGUCUGUCUUGGCACAGCCUUCUGCUUCUAAACAGCAGGUGAGGGUGUUUAGAGUCUGACCUGUUUCUGCUAUUGCUUUUUCUCUCCUCCGCUUUUAAAGACAGUGUCUUUCAUUGCAACUUGCUGUGGACUAACUUCCUACUGGAUCAUUUAAUCCUGGAGACAUCAGUUGUAUAUGUUCCUGCCCUCCAACCUCGUUUAUCUGACUAUCCUUCACACAACAAAGGGUAAUGAAUAGAAUCUUAUACCUCUUAGGGGCACAACGUGGGGCCAGAGGCAAGUGCUAUGUGGAGUAAAUUUCCUAGCGAUGUUUUAUUUAGCAGAAUACAUAUAUCCAAGAUUAAUCUCACCUUAGUAAUAAAGAAAGGAGGACCUUGGAGGAUUGGAAAGAGAAUCUUGUCUGAGGGAUCUGGGGAAAAAAGCUUUGGAAUCUCUAGGAAAAAGAACUAUUUUCUUCAAUUCCUCCCCCCCCCCCCCCCAAGUCUAUUGAAAAAAAUAUCCUAUUGUUAAAAAAUUCUGCAUGUGUCAAAAUAAGCAGUGAAGUUGAUUUAAAAGUAAUAAAUUACAGCAUUGCAUCCUUCAAGAUGCUUUUUGUAAGUAACAAAUAUUUUAGAUGAAGUUACUUUGUUACAGAAUUUCAUAGCAUUGAGAAAUUACAAUUCCUAUAUGUAAUAGACUACAUUUACUGGCAGACCCUUAAAGUGCUCUGUUAACUAUUUGUAAUGAGAUAAUCUCUCUAUAUAGAGAUGUCAUGUUUGUUUAACAAGAUUUUCUGUAUAAGUAUGCCCUUCCCAUUUAUUUAUGACAGGGUGAUACUAUUACAAGGAUUGAUUCGUUGAUUUUUAGUUUCAAUUUUUUUGUUCUUACUGAGGUUGACCAAUUAGCAAACAAAAACCCCAACUUUUAAGUACCUCAGUUUGCAACACAGAUCCAUCCCUAAGAUUAGAACAAGUUUAAGUUAUAAAAAAAUAAAUAUUUUACCUUUUUUUUUUUUUUUAAUAUAAAAUAACUGAUAUACCUGUCAGUACUUUCUAUGUGCUAGCUAGGUUAUGGUCAAUACAGUUCUUAUUCUUAAUGAAGCACAUACAGUUCACCUUUGAUAAGCAAGCUACUAUUGUAGAUAUUUCACUUUAUCUGAAGAUGUCUGGGAGCAGGGGUCUUAUUUUCAGGGGAGAGGGAGAUAGGGAGACAAAAACAUGCAUAUAUGCAUUUAUCUUGAGUCUGGUUUGGAAGCUAUUGUAAACCAAGACAUAAGUAAGGAGGAAAAUGCAUUCUUGUUUUAUCAGGUGAUUCUGGUGUCUCAACAGUUGUCUGGGAGAUACCAUUCAUAGUGUCCUAAGGGGAACAUACUGGUUAAAACAUUUUAUUUUUUUUUAGCUCUUUUCUCCUUUAAGGAAUACUUGGGGAAGUAAAUAAAGUUCGUUCCUUUAGAAGUAAAAAGGUUGGAUUUUUUACCAGCGCAGCCUGAAUUUGCAGAUGCUGUUUGAAACAACGAAAUAAAGUAUAGAUAGUGGUGGAAAUACUAUUGUGCAGCUGAACUAAAGGGAUUUUGCUGGAUAACUACUUGCCUGUUAUUGUCAUUGGCAAGUCAGAGAUAAUUUCCAAAGCUGUAGUCUGGCUGAGGAGGAGUAAUUGCUUUUCUGUGUAUUUUUCAAGCCAAAACACACACUUUGUUUUUACCAGUGUUUUUACUCAGAUUCAAAAUUAUCACAGCAUUGUUGCUGAAAAAAAAGUUAUUUUUAAAAGAAAAAGUAUUAUGAAUAGUGACACCUGAGUGGCACACAGAAAACUCUUGUCAGCUGAACUCCUGACAGAAUCUGGCAGAAAUUCAAAGUCUGGUUUGUCUCUAGUAAUUCCAUUAACAUUUCAAAGGUUGACGAUGUUCUGGGAAUUACACGGGAGGAAUUAUUUUUUAAGUUAAAAAUUAGUACUCUAAAGCCUUGCCUGUGCUAGGAAUAUUGCAGCUAUCUUGCAAUAGGUAAAUGGACUAUAUGUGAGACCCUAAGUUCUCUAUCAGACGUUUUGCUAUUUUAUCUGUACUGGCGUAAUUAAAGUAUCAGCCAUCUUUUCCCAUAGUGUGAACAGAGCUGUAUCAGUAUAAAACUGUAUAUAUUGGUAGCUUAUUUCCGCAUAGAAGGAAACAACCUUGGAGGGCUGGCCCAAUUCCAGAAGUUGUUUUUAAUUAUAUUGCGGUUGCUAUGCCUGUAUAAACUAUUUGUAUUGGAGACCUUAUACCAGAAGAAGGUGACUUCAUUCUAGUUUAUUUGCUCUUAUCCAUAGAGCCCCAUAAAAAGUUACACCACUUCAGUUUCAUAGGUUUGAUUUGCCUUUGUGGGCAAACUUGCCCUUUACACAGACUUAUCUCCAUCUAUGCUAGAGAAUAUAAAUGAUGACUGGUGUGACAAUAAAAAUGCAUCUUCCUUUCUGAGAUAAGCCUAAUAUUUUCAGUUAAUACUAGAACAACUACAGUUUACUGUGAACGGUUAGAAUAUUUCCAUCUGGCUGUGUGCACCAGAGCCUAUAGAGCAGCUGUCCCCACCCCAAAUCCUAGCUUAACUCUCUGUUGUUCAGUACGGAACACAAUGUUUUAUGUACUCUGAUCAAACUGUUUUAUAGAUCAGUGUCUUGCCUCGCUUUUCUGCUGUGUAAAUGAUCUGUUACCUAAGAAAGAAUUAAGAAAGUUGAAGUCAGAAUAUCAGAACUUGGAUCACUUGCAAAUAAGGAUGAUCUGCAUGUGCUUGUUCUAUAAAAAUAAUGUUGAGCAGAUUCAGAUAAUUUCUGUUUUAAAGCUACAGGCGAGGGAGAGCUCCUGAUCCCAUGUUAAAAGGUGGGGAGGGGAUUGUGAUGGGCAAAAGACUGAAAAAACGGUACAACCCUUCUGCUCUAAGCCGGGGAGCAGUAAAAAAAGGACCUAGUCAGAGACUUAACUAGCAGGAACAGAAACAGCCAAAAGCCCAGGACCUUUGAACAUUCAGAGAACAUUCACUACCUUUAAUUAGCUGUUCUCUGUCCUAUGCUCAUUGACUGUUUGUUCCACCCUCUUUCUGUCUAUUCUACCUCUUUACUUCUGCUUCAAUUCUGCUUAGUUCAUGUGCUUCCCCCCAAUCUGCCCUCCUUGCUCUGUAUCUCCUUCCAUUUUCUUUGCAAGCAAAAGCCACCCCAAAAUAGAACUACUGUUACAUUUACUACAAUCACGCUGUUUGUGCUGUGUGUGAACUUUUCCCCCACGAUGUCUUAUCUGUUUAGAGUGUUGUUUUUUAUAUGAUUGGGCACCUUCUACUGUUCUGUGUUUAUGCACUGUCCAGCAUAAUGGCACUUCAAUCUUCAUUAGUCCUUAGAAGACCUUAAAUAUGAUUACGAAUAAUAUUCCUUUAUCCAGCUUUUUUUAUAAGAAAUCACUUCUAGGCAAAUGACUACCCUUAAUGAGAUGAGGUAUAUGAGACUUAAGACGGCAAGAGGAACUUUGCUCUUGCAGUUUUUCCAUAGAUGAACUAGUGAUUUAAAAGUAUAAUGUUGUAACCGUGGUUAUAUUACAGUCCAGCAUAAUAUGAUGAACAUUUCAGAACUAAUUUUAUAUUGACUCUUGUUUGCAUUGCACUUGCAGUUGUUUGCAAAUUGUUGGUUUGUUUUCAAUGUUUUACAGCUUUUAAAUUUGCUUUCUAGAAACCAUUUUGGUAGGUGCGGGUCGCUUGUCAGAAAUCCGUUCCAAAGCUUGAGUACAAAGCGAGCAGGUUACUAAUGACGGAUGUGAAUGGAUAUCUUAAGGAUAACAAUGGAUAUAGCAUGUUCAAAAGCAGUGGCGUUCUGACCCUAAUCCUGCUACUGGAUUUGUUCAAAUGGACCUCGAUAGCCAUGGGGCCUGGCUGAGUUGAUGGGACUCUGGAUGACUGCAAGUUUCUACCCUGAAGAUCUGAUUGUAGGCCUGACCUAAAUUUCUAUUUUAUUCCCCUGUCUAUUUGCUUCUAAUUCAUGAAAAUUAUCCUACAUAACGGUAUUGUCUUUGAGUCUCACGCACAUCUACUUUAGUAGCAUUCAGAUACCGCGUGCUUGGGAUGUUGUCAGACAUCAUUAAAAUAUUUCUGUUGUGUCAUGUGCCAAAACCUCAUGAUUGCCGUGAUUAUUGUGCUGUAUUUUUACAUUCAAUGGCUUCCUACCUAAAAUGGAGGGGAUCAUCACCUGUGUUUUCAGUCGUUGUGGUAUUUCUCUUAACUCAGAUUUUGAAGUUAGAGUAACUGUUGGAACUCUAUUCAGGUCAUUUUUAAAAUGUUGGUAGAUUUGGUUUUUAUUUGUUGGACACAAAGUACAUCUAUUUCAUUUUAUUUUGCAAUCUGCUAUUUUCUUAGUAGCCUGCUAUUACUGAAAUCUUUCAAUAUGAUGAUACUCUGUGAUGUAGACCAAUAAAAUAAGUAGGAAAAGGCAUUAACUUUUA
Molecule: long non-coding RNA, 6951 nt
Organism: Harpia harpyja (harpy eagle)
Lineage: Eukaryota; Metazoa; Chordata; Aves; Accipitriformes; Accipitridae
Exons: 2
Source: RefSeq, a predicted model, not a curated record